CUUAAAAGGUACAAUAUUUUAUUGGGUGCUUUCAUAUCCCCCAUCAGACCCAAAAUCCUGAGAAACAUCACUGCUGCUAAAAUCCAUGUUGCUUGAGGAGUUGGCCCUCCUGUUCAAGGCCUGUCGCUUCUGCCGAGGCGCCUGUCGCUUCUGCCGAGGCGCCUGUCGCUUCUGCCGAGGCGCCUGUCGCUUCUGCCGAGGCGCCUGUCGCUUCUGCCGAGGCGCCUGUCGCUUCUGCCGAGGCAUGGGAGCCAGUUGCUUCCCCUAAGGUAUUUGUGCCAGUUGCCACACUUGCUGAGGCAUUGUGGGUGGCUGCUUCCGAGGUAUUAUGGGUGGCCUCUUGCACGGCUCUGUGGCUGGUAGCUUCCACUGCCGAGGCACUGUGGCUGGUAGCUUCACUUAAGGUAUUUGGGCCAGUCGUGGCGCUUGAUGAAGCAUUGUGGCCAGUUGCUUCAACUAAGGUAUUUGGGCCAGUUACCACACUUGCUGAGGCAUUGUGGGUGGCUGCUUCUGCAGAGUCACGGAAGCUGGUUGCUUCACCCAAUGUAUUUGGGCCAGUCAUGGCGCUUGAUGAAGCAUUGUGGCUAGUUGCAUCAGCUAUGGUAUUUGGGCCAGUCGUGAUGUUUGCUGAGGCAUUGUGGGUGGCUGCUUCUGCUGCGGAGGCACGGGUUCUGGUUGCUCCACCUAAGGUUUUUGAGCCAGUUGCCACACUUGCUGAGGCAUUUUGGGUGGCUCCUUCUGCUGAGGCACGGGAGCGUUUUGCUUCACCCAAGUUAUUUGGGCCAGUCGUGACGCUUGAUGAAGCAUUGCGGCCAGUUGCUUCAAAGCUAUUUGGGCCAGUUGCCACACUUGCCGAGGCAUUAUGGGUGGCUGCUUCCGCUGCCGAGGCGUUAUGGGUGGUCGCUUCCGCGGCACUGUGGCCAGUUGCUUCACCCAAGGUAUUUGGGCCAGUCAUGGCGCUUGCUGAGGUAUUGUGGUGGCUGCUUCUGAGGCACGGGAGCCGGUUGCUUCCGCUGCAUUGUGGCUGGUUCCUUUUAAUUUAUUUUGGGGAAUAUAUCUAUAAUUACCUAUGAAAGAAAAUAAAGUUUAAAAUCAUAAAAUUCCAGCAUUUGAAGUUCUGGGACUUAAACGGUGUUAUUUUAUCUGAAUUAAAUGUGUAGAACAAAACACACCUUUAGAUGGAGGAUAACAGGUUAUCCCUCCAAUUAGCAGGCAACAAAUCCAAUAAAUUCUAAAUAAAAACAUCCUAGUCAGUUAAAAAUACAGCUACCUGUAAAACAUGGGAAACAAACUAGAGCCAUACAACUUAGCUCAAAGUCAUUUAAAAAAUCACAGCCAGAAUUCUGAACUAAUGGUAGCCAGAAGCAUUACCAGGAGAUUCCUCUUAUUGUAUCUGAUUGUCUUUUUU
Molecule: long non-coding RNA, 1408 nt
Filed under: Salmo salar (Atlantic salmon)
Lineage: Eukaryota; Metazoa; Chordata; Actinopteri; Salmoniformes; Salmonidae
Description: lncRNA (ENSSSAG00000082413.1)
Source: RNAcentral